GACGAACGAGGGAGGAGGGGGGAACACAUGCAAGUCGAACGGAAAGGCCCUGCUUGCAGGGUACUCGAGUGGCGAACGGGUGAGUAACACGUGGGUGAUCUGCCCUGCACUUCGGGAUAAGCCUGGGAAACUGGGUCUAAUACCGGAUAGGAGCCAUUUUUAGUGUGAUGGUUGGAAAGUUUUUUCGGUGUAGGAUGAGCUCGCGGCCUCUCAGCUUGUUGGUGGGGUAAUGGCCUACCAAGGCGGCGACGGGUAGCCGGCCUGAGAGGGUGGACGGCCACAUUGGGACUGAGAUACGGCCCAGACUCCUACGGGAGGCAGCAGUGGGGAAUAUUGCACAAUGGGCGCAAGCCUGAUGCAGCGACGCCGCUUGGGGGAUGACGGCCUUCGGGUUGUAAACUCCUUUCGCUAGGGACGAAGCUUUUUGUGACGGUACCUAGAUAAGAAGCACCGGCUAACUACGUG
This 465-nucleotide ribosomal RNA is filed under the name uncultured bacterium. RNAcentral describes it as "partial 16S ribosomal RNA". It matches the Rfam family "Bacterial small subunit ribosomal RNA", at positions 28 to 507 of the family's 1533-position model. The record is from RNAcentral.